GCUGAUGGUGUACCUUUUUCUCCCCUAUUUGGUUCUUUCUCAAAACCCCUGAAAAUCAAAUUUCCAUUUCUACCUCCUUUUCUAACUUACAGGAUCUCAAGAAGAUCCAACGUCAUCGGCUCGCCCAACCCCGGCCUCGGUACUUCUCUCACUUCCAUUUCUGAUCCUCUUUUUAUUUUAUUUUUCUCCUGUUGAUUUGUUGGAUUCUUGAAGUUUCUGAAAAAUAAUUAGAAUAAAACAAGAACCUCAAGCGAGUGGACAGGAUGAGGUACCCGCAAAUGCACAGGCAGGGCCUUCAUCAGGGAGGAAGCCGCGGAAGCCCAGCAGGUUCAGGCCGGGGACUGUGGCUCUUCGGGAGAUACGGAAGUAUCAGAAGUCCUGUGAGCUGUUGAUACCCGCAGCUCCUUUCAUUCGAUGCGUGGGUAAGGGAGCUAACUGCUUUCUAUUCUAGGGGAGUUAAUUGUUGGAUGACUGAAGCUUUAGUAGCAAUCCAAGAGGUAUGGGA
Long non-coding RNA from Magnolia sinica, 505 nucleotides. RefSeq lists it as uncharacterized. The record is from RefSeq and is a predicted model, not a curated record. The transcript is spliced from 3 exons. Lineage: Eukaryota; Viridiplantae; Streptophyta; Magnoliopsida; Magnoliales; Magnoliaceae.